UGGUUAGCUCUAAGCAUCAUCAUCACGAUGUCCCUUGUCCGCCACCGCCCCCACCAAAGACUCCAAAAUGCCCACCACCACCAUCAUCACCUACAGGAAGUUGUCCAAAAAAUGCUCUUAAGCUAGGAGUAUGUGCUGACUUGUUAAACGAUUUGGUGCACCUAGUAGUCGGAACUCCACCAAAGGAACCAUGCUGCCCUCUCAUUCAAGGUCUUGCGGACCUUGAAGCUGCCGUUUGCCUUUGCACUGCCCUUAAGGCCAAUAUUUUGGGCAUUAAUCUUAAUGUCCCUGUUUCCUUAAGUUUGCUCUUGAAUUACUGCGGAAAGGGUGUUCCUGCGGGAUUCCAGUGCGCUUAGAGUGGGCAGUGUUUCAAGUUUCUGAUUUCAAUCUCUGGUUGAUUUAGUAGUAUAUGUCUCUCAUUUGUUAUCUAGGCUUCUUUGGACUACUUUUCACUUGGGUUUUUGAGGUUGUGUUUCAAUUUUUAUGGAAGGAACAAAAUAUGUACUAUUGGAAUGUCUGUACCCCAGUUGAAUAAUGCCUUUAAUGGGGAGGCUUGAUUGUUUUCUGUCACUUAAAAAUGUAAAAGAAUAUAAGAUCGAUUGCUAUUUGAUAGUUUUGUUCUUAAUGAAUAGAUGGUACACCAACUCGUAUGUAUCGCCUCCACCAUCCUUUGAUGCACUUCCGACUGUACUUGUUCUCUCUCAUUGCCCGUUAAAACUUCUGGGAGACAGUAAAUGAUCUUAGAAUAUCAAAUAUUCUUGAGAUAAUCUUUUUAUUUUCUUAGAAGAAAAAUAAACAAUUAAAUUGAUUGGUAUGUCACAUUCAUGAUGUUUCAUCAUAUUAACAAACAAACAAACAAAGUGACAGUUGAAGUGGAUGCUGGCAAUCCCCCACUCCAUCCUGACCUCGAUGGGAUGUUUUAGACUACCAAUGCUAAAUGGGUCGUGGAAAUCGUUCCUCAUAUUUUCCUUUAAUUUUUUUAUAUAAAAUAAUAUUAACUAUUAUUUUUCAUUUUGAAAUAUAAACUAAUUAUUUAUUUAAAUAACUUAAAUGGGAUUUCCAACGCCACUCCUCCUUCUAGGCUUUUCAAUAAUAAAAGAAAAAUAACCGUUGCAGCUACACUCUUUCCGAGUAACAAACACAGAAAUUCUCUCUCUUUUUUCUUUUUUCUUUUUUUGGUUUUUUCCUAUACAUAUUUACUUAGAUAUNNNUUUUGUUUUCCUAUACAUAUUUACUAGAUAUUAUUGAUAGCAAAAAUAAGUAAUAACUAUGUUAUUUAUUUAGUAGAACAUCUACAUAAAUUUUAUACUAUCUUCUAAUUUUUUAUUAUUUAUCUUUAUUUUUUAUAUAAUUAAAAAUAUAAAAUAAUAUUUCAUAAAAUUCGUAAUCCAUUUUGUAAUUUAACGGCUUUUCAUUAAAAGAAAAUAAUUUACUAAUCGAAAUCGAAAGUAUAUAAAUUUAUUUUUAAUUUUAAUAAAGGCUAAUUCUUAAAAAUAUUACAACUUAGUAAAAAGACAAACGAAUAAGAAUUUUAAAAAUAAUAAUUAAGGAGGAAGGUUUAUUUUAAAAAUUUAAAAUUAAAAUUUGAGAAAUUUUAGAUAUUGAUGAUUUCUAACUUGAUAUUCUGAUUUUGAUACAAGUAAAAUGGUAACUUAAAUUAAUCUUUUCUUUUUUUAACUUGGCAUUAAAAAGUUAAAGCUUCUCACCUUUUUCAUAAAUGGUUAUCACAAGCAUAACUAUUGGUGGAAAACCUUAUAUAAGAAGUCCAAUCAACAUUUUAGCAAAAAUAGUAUUGAAAAAUUCAACAAAAUUAUGUUCAUGAAAGUCUAAUACAGAAAGAUUAAGAUUUUCUCUUUCAAAUUUCCUAAUUAAAGGAAUUUCACCAUCCCUGUUUAGGAGCUUAAUUUAGGUGUCAAAGAAGAAUUACGGGAACACAGCAGUCUUUUAGCCAGAUUAAGAAUAUUCUUAGAACUCCUCUCAAAACUUAUCAGAUCUGAUCCACCAACAGUGGUUAAUUAUUGAUGAGGUAUGUCCUUGCAAUUUCAAAAUAAAACAAAGAGUAAAGAAAUCAGAAAGAUUAUUUAUUAUCUUUGUAUUAGUUAAGUUGCACAGACAGACAGUUGCACUAUCGCAUCGGACAAGAUUGGCGUUUCAUGUUUGGCUGUAAUUUAUGACUAAUGAUUCUGAAAUUAUAGUCCUGACCAUAAUCUUGCCAAAGUGUUUUCCUUUCAUUAAAGCUCUCAAUUGGGACCAAUUGCUUAAAUUGGGAACUUCCGGUCCGACAAUUGCCUUCCACUUCCCACAUUUCAAUUAUUUUUUGUAUACUCUAGGGUAUUAGUCCAGUUGUCUCAGCCCCACGGCCUCCUAUAGAAAAAUCAUAAUAAUAAUAAAACAAAGAGAAGAAAGAAAUGUUAUUUGUUAAUUUUGUUUUGGGAACAAUAAUGAGAAAAGGAGUUCACGGGUUCUUUAUUGAAUGUAUUUGUAUAACAAAGUCGUGUACCUAACUUUGUCUUUAUUCUUUAGAUUAUUUCAGUAAUGAAGUCAUCGUUCUAAAUGAUAAGAUCACAAGAAGAAGACCCUCUACCACUUGCAGACAGACCCCAUGCAUGGCAUAUAGAAUCAAAUAGGCCAACUUGAAUACCUUCCUCAAGAAAUUCUCUCUUUUCAUGACCACAUAAUGCAAACAUGAGGCACACUGAAAAAAAGAAAAAAACAAAGAGCUGGAGAGGAAAGAAAGGAGUGAAAGGCCUGACAGAAGAAGAAGAACAAACGAUAGGAGUUCUACUUUCCUAGGAGAACAAGUUCCUUUUAAUACCAAAAACUGAAUUAACGUUAAAAAGAGAAAAUCUUAAUGAGAUGCUUGCAUUCUUGAUUAAACUUGCAACUGAGUUCUAUUAUGUGGGCAUCGUCAUAACCUACCUAUCAACAAACAACUUUCAUUAAACUUGCAACUAUCAUUAAGAGAUGCUUGCAUUCUUGAUUCGUUGGAUGCUUGCAUUGCAUUGCAGAUGCAGCAAUUCCUUAAGAGUGGUUAUAUUUGGCCAGGCAUCGCACAUUUCUGCCUUCAACUGCCAUUUUCAAGGACUUACCAAACAUAUCACACGGCCUCCUCUACCAGUUUAACUCAAUUUGCUGAUAGAAAAGUGUGGCCUCUAGACCUCCCACUUGUCUCUUUUUAACGUUAUCUUCUUCUUGGUUAUGUUACAUAGUUGGGCUACCAUAUGCAAUAGCAGAUUCAACACCUACAAAUAAUCAAGCCCCAGAUCCAACCACAGCUCCGUCUGGGAGUCAAAACCCAACCCCUAUUCCAGUUGCUGCUACUGAUUAAACCCAAAUCCUAACACAACAUCUAUUGCAUGCCAACCAAAAAGUCAAUACUAGUAAUGCUAUCGAAAAUUCCAUCAUGAUUCCACCAGCAGCUCCUAGACGUAGCUGCUCCACCGUCAAUCCCUCUCCUAAAUAUACCAACUGGCUCCAGUGCACCUGCAAAUAGACGUCGUUGCAGCAUCCUGCAAAGCCUUGGCAGUCACUUAGAAGAAUGAUUUUGCCCAAUUCUUAUACUCAAUCUAUUUGGGCUCGACCUUGUGAAUAUCCUCAAUGGACUAAAUAACAUCCUAACCACAUGUGGCAGCAGUGGCUAAUCUAAAAUUUCAUGUUUUCCUCUUUUUCUUUAUUAAGAAUAACGCUUGACCUUUUCUUUGCAAUUACGUAAUUUGUUUCAACUUUAUUCGGUACAAUCCAGCUGCUUCAUCAAGAUUUCAGGUGGCACAGGAAAACGAGGGAAACAGUUUUUCUUUCUCCUAUAAUUGGCCUCUAUCACAGAUCACAAACAUAAUUUAUGCUUUUUAGUGAGGGCAUAUUGAUGUUCCCAAUAAUAAUUAGCAGGAACAAAGAAUAUUUGUACAUCAAGAGUACACAAAUGAACAAAUUGAUGGGACUGGGAGGAAAUAGUGCAAGGGAUACUAGGGCGUGAAAGGUGAUAAAUUCCACUAUCAUUAUGCAAGAGUAUACUCGAUCAAUGUUUCUGAUGUAUGUGUAUGGCCAUUGAUGUAUCUAUAUGUUCAGUAAUCCUAUUUUGUUAUCACAUUGGACAAACAUGAAGAACCAGCAACAAUAACAAGAAGAAACUAUGAAAAUCUUACCUUUUUCAGAAUGUUUUUUUAAGAUAUACACUUAGGUCGAUUGCCCAACUCGUUCAUUACCAAAUCUGUUAAUAAUUGUAAUUAUCAUAACCUAAUAACUAUUAUAAAUUGCGAUAACCUGCAGAAUCUAAAAUAAUCGUAAUUCCCCAUCUCAUGUAAUUAAAUCCAACGGAUACAUGAGGUCAUGGCAUUUUAACCCGCUAGACCUAUUAACUAAAUCACAUCAGUGAUAAUUCCAAAUGUUGGAAGGAAUAUAAAUGAGCAAAACCACUAAAUUACAUUCCAAAUUAGAUUAGAAUUAAUUAACUUUGCCUUUUUUCUAAUUUAUCUUUCAGAGUUUUAUUGUUUGUUUAAUAUUUAAGUUAUUGAAAUAUUUAAUUUAUUGAUGUUUUAAGGUUUUAUAUAAUUGACGAUUUGCAUGAUUAUUUCAAAUUAUUGGAGGCAAAAUUUGUAUAUAUAAAGUAAAAUAUUGUGGCCUUAGCAAUCAAAAUUCUGCAACUAUAUACCCAUUUUGUAAUUAUAUUCAGUAUAAUGAUAAUGCAGAAGUAAUAAAUAAUACUAAGCAAUUAUGUAGUAUAAUUUAGAAAGCUAUGGAUAGAAAUGAGAACUCCAAAUUCCAAUCUUCAAUUUUCAAUCUUCAAUCUAGCAUAAGCAAACACAGAUUUUAAAUUCAUAAACAAACAAGAGUAGAUAACUAAAGAUAGAGAUCUUAAGCACACUUAAAGCCUUGAGGAACCUCUCUUCCACAAGCACUAAGAAGUAGACUAAUAGCAACAGGCACUUCAACCUUCACAACCCCAAGUACAUUACUCUUUAUCGCAGUGCAUAAACACAAUGCAGCUUCAAGAUCAGCUACACCUUUAAUGAGGGUACAGCAUUCCUUGCUUGGUUUAGUUCCAAUGACCUCAUGAACCAACCCUAACCAGCUCCCACACACCCCAAACGUAAGGGUAUCCUUGGGGCAUCUGGCCGGCUUCUCGGGGACGGAAGGCACUUUUGGAGGGCAUACGGGUACCUUAUGAGAUGAAACACAAGUGAAAAGUAUGAGACUAAGGAGAAGUAAAAGAGUUGCUGCCUUAGAAGAACUGAAAGCCAUUCUAUCCAGUAACACUUUCGGUACUGUUGUUAAGGUAAUUUAAUAGGACCGACGAUCAUUGGAGCCUUGGAGGAAGCAAUGGCCAAUAAUAAUUAGGGCAUGAAAGAUAUUUGAGCUAGAUUUGUUAUUGCCAAUAAAGGAAUGGAAUAGCUGUUAGUAGCCAAUAUCUUGGUUCUAUGGCUGAUAGCAGCCUUAUCUGUUAGAUAAAAGAUUUAGCAAGGCCGAAACAUACAAUAGCUAGCUAUAAAGGGCCCAGCAGCCUUCCUAGGCCCUAAAUCCUUUCAAUCAAUAGCUUUCUUCCAGCCAGGGAAGUGGGAACAGACGUAAGACUUUUCCUGAUUGUGUUAUAUUAAUCCCCCGGACUAAAAUUGUGAGCCAAUCUUCUUUAGUGCUGACAGAGAAGUCUGAAUUAUGAAAAGUCUUUCUCUCUAUGACAAGCAUAUUAAAAUUUUAAAAUCACCAUGGUUUGGUCGUCACGCAUUUGUAAACGAUGACCAUCCUAUAAAUUCCUCCAAAUAACCGUAGGACAGAACUCACAAUUACAAGGGAAUUAGAAUAGAUUUAUAGGCCAAAAUUAGCGAGCAGCAUGAAGCCAGCAGUCACGUUUGUUCUUGGAACAAUGUUUGGGGCCUUUAUAACACGAGGAAUGCAGCGUUGUCAACACCACGGCCAUGGAUGGCGUAGAGAGUGGCCCUCUUGUCCUCGCCAAGCUCAGAAGAACCCAAGCUCAUCACCACCACCACCAACUGAACAGACAAUUACUGCACCCAUUACUAAUAAUUAAUUAGUUGCACAUGCGAUGAUAAUCGUCUUUUUUUGUUUUGUUUCUUGUGUAAAUGUGAGUGUUCUGUUUCUAAUAAAUGGACGUUGAUGUAUAAUUCUAAUUGUUUUGUCGAAAACAAUUCGAUUUCAACUGCACUGCUACAAACGAGAGGUCUAGUGAUCAAGAGAAAUAUAGCCGAAUUCUGUAUCUGCUCCAUCCAUCAUUAUGGUUUAGCCAAAGUCCAAGUUCCCCUUCCUGCACAGCUUCAUUUCAGUUAAUUAAGCCAUCAGAGCUUCAAAAUUUAUAAAAUCCUCAAAAAGGAC
This 6324-nucleotide long non-coding RNA is filed under the name Ricinus communis (castor bean). Its description in RNAcentral is "long non-coding RNA (RCOM_LNC000178)". The record is from RNAcentral. Lineage: Eukaryota; Viridiplantae; Streptophyta; Magnoliopsida; Malpighiales; Euphorbiaceae.